AACGAACGCUGGCGGCAUGCCUAACACAUGCAAGUCGAACGAGACCUUCGGGUCUAGUGGCGUACGGGUGCGUAACGCGUGGGAACCUGCCCUUAGGUUCGGAAUAACUCCCCGACAGGGGUGCUAAUACCGGAUAAUGUCUUCGGACCAAAGAUUUAUCGCCCUUGGAUGGGCCCGCGUUGGAUUAGCUAGUUGGUAGGGUAAAAGCCUACCAAGGCGACGAUCCAUAGCUGGUCGGAGAGGAUGAUCAGCCACACUGGGGCUGAGACACGGCCCAGACUCCUACGCAAGGGAGCAGUGGGUAAUAUUGGACAAUGGGCGAAAGCCUGAUCCAGCAAUGCCGCGUGAGUGAUGAAGGCCUUAGGGUUGUAAAGCUCUUUUACCCGGGAUGAUAAUGACAGUACCGGGAGAAUAAGCUCCGGCUAACUCCGUG
Molecule: ribosomal RNA, 433 nt
Filed under: uncultured bacterium
Lineage: Bacteria
Description: partial 16S ribosomal RNA
Rfam family: Bacterial small subunit ribosomal RNA
Source: RNAcentral